Molecule: ribosomal RNA, 372 nt
Filed under: uncultured organism
Description: bacterial SSU rRNA
Rfam family: Bacterial small subunit ribosomal RNA
Source: RNAcentral
CGUAGGGGGCUAGCGUUGUCCGGAUUCAUUGGGCGUAAAGCGCGUGUAGGCGGCCAGGUAGGUCCGAUGUGAAAACUGGAGGCUCAACCUCCAGCUGUCAUUGGAAACCAUCUGGCUAGAGUCCGGAAGAGGAGAGUGGAAUUCCUGGUGUAGCGGUGAAAUGCGCAGAUAUCAGGAAGAACACCGAUGGCGAAGGCAGCUCUCUGGGACGGUACUGACGCUGAGACGCGAAAGCGUGGGGAGCGAACAGGAUUAGAUACCCUGGUAGUCCACGCCGUAAACGAUGGGCGCUAGGUGUGGGCGGUGUCGACUCCGUCCGUGCCGAAGCUAACGCAUUAAGCGCCCCGCCUGGGGAGUACGGCCGCAAGGCUA